UUUAGUGCAGGGAGACUUCAUUACUUUUACUGAGUUUUAUUUCAGUCACUGUUGAAAAAAAAUUACUUGUUUGUCAGUCCUGAUUUGUUCCAAUUUGAUUCACUACCACCUCUAACUUAAAUGAAACUGAGAAGGUGCAUCAAGAGAAAGCAAAAGUGCUGGAGGACUUAUAUAGCAUUUGAAUGAGUUCUGUGAAACUCAUUUUAGACAAGAGAGAGGUGACACCCUUUUUCUGGUUACUGAGUAGGACUUAUUUCUCCUGUUUCUCCUGAAAAAGCUGUGUACAUUGCUGAGGACUGUAUUAAUGGGUAUUUAGAGGAGGUACAAGUCAUGCCAGUAUUUCUGUUGCAUGGGCUGAUCUGAAUUAACCAGGACAUAGAGGUGGGAGUCCUGUGGUACAGAUAACCCAGAGUGGAUGGACACAAGGCAGGAUUUGGGGUGGUGGUUCCAAACUUACCUGAUAUUAAAAGAGGAAUUUGCCAGUGAAAUGAAUCUAAGUGUGCAAGUUGCAGCAGCCUUGAGACAGAAGCAAAUUCCACACUGGUAAAUAAUCAGAAGGCUACAGCACCUUGGGUGUGGAACUCUGUGCUUGUCCAAAGCAGACUGAAGAUCUGCAGAACAGAUUCUGUAACAGGAGCUUCCACAGUCAGCACAGGCCAGCUCCUUAAAGACUCAGAUGUCAGCAACACAUCAAAGUGGCAGAGUCCCACCAGACUCAGUGACCAAGACGAAGAGGUUUAGCUCCCAGAGGCAAGGGGGCACUGAGCCUGCUCCUCCAUCCCUCUGUGCUCCUCCAGAGACAGACAGUGAGAAUGCACACAAGAAGCCAUGAGGGAGCAUUAACAAGACAGAACUGGCAGGAGGAAUAUUCCAUACCACAGACCAUCAAGCUCAGAAUAUAAAAUGAGAGGAAUUGGCAGGGAGGGGUGAUCACUGCUCAAAGACAGGCUGGGCAUGGCCAAUGGGUGGUAAGCAGUUGGACUGGGCAUCCAUCCGCUGUUUCUUUUGUGUUUUAUUCUU
Molecule: non-coding RNA, 1020 nt
Organism: Cyanistes caeruleus (blue tit)
Lineage: Eukaryota; Metazoa; Chordata; Aves; Passeriformes; Paridae
Source: RefSeq, a predicted model, not a curated record